This 72-nucleotide transfer RNA is filed under the name Chlorella vulgaris. It matches the Rfam family "tRNA". Rfam says of the family: Transfer RNA (tRNA) molecules are approximately 80 nucleotides in length. Their secondary structure includes four short double-helical elements and three loops (D, anti-codon, and T loops). Lineage: Eukaryota; Viridiplantae; Chlorophyta; Trebouxiophyceae; Chlorellales; Chlorellaceae. The record is from Rfam by way of RNAcentral.
UCUCCAAUAGCUCAGUGGUAGAGCAGCUGGCUGUUAACCAGUUUGUCGUUGGUUCAAAUCCAACUUGGGGAG